UCGAGAAUCUUUCACAAUGGGGGAAACCCUGAUGGAGCGACGCCGCGUGGGGGAUGAAGGCCUUCGGGUCGUAAACCCCUGUCAUUUGUGAACAAGAGCUUUCGGUUAAUACCCGGAAGAAUUGCUAGUAGCAAAAGAGGAAGGGACGGCUAACUCCGUGCCAGCAGCCGCGGUAAUACGGAGGUCCCAAGCGUUGUUCGGAUUCACUGGGCGUAAAGGGUGCGUAGGCGGUCGGGAAAGUUUGAUGUGAAAGCUCCGAGCUCAACUUGGAAAAUGCAUUGAAAACUAUCCGACUAGAGGAUUGUAAGGGAGACUGGAAUUCUCGGUGUAGCAGUGAAAUGCGUAGAUAUCGAGAGGAACACCAGUGGCGAAGGCGAGUCUCUGGACAAUUCCUGACGCUGAGGCACGAAAGCUAGGGGAGCAAACAGGAUUAGAUACCCCCGUAGUCC
This 449-nucleotide ribosomal RNA is filed under the name uncultured prokaryote. RNAcentral describes it as "bacterial SSU rRNA". It matches the Rfam family "Bacterial small subunit ribosomal RNA", at positions 355 to 796 of the family's 1533-position model. The record is from RNAcentral.